GGUUUCAUAGCAUAAUGGUUAUAACGUCUGCUUUUUUUCACGCAGAAGGCCCAGGGUUCAAUCCCCAGUGAAUCCA
This 76-nucleotide transfer RNA is filed under the name Xenopus laevis (African clawed frog). It matches the Rfam family "tRNA". Rfam says of the family: Transfer RNA (tRNA) molecules are approximately 80 nucleotides in length. Lineage: Eukaryota; Metazoa; Chordata; Amphibia; Anura; Pipidae. The record is from Rfam by way of RNAcentral.